GCUGGUUCCACUCCAUCACCCUGCAAAACAGAAAUCGUCUGCUGUAUGUGGCCAAGGUUUGCUCUAAAAUCAUUGGGCAACCUGUUCGGCCUUUCAUCUCAUUAUGUGAUCAACUGACUGUAAAAACUGCGCACAAAAUAUUACACGACUCCACCCAUGUGCUUUCUUUAGAGUUUGAGUGGCUCCCUUCAGGACGCAGACUUCUUUAGUCUUUUCGCAGCUGUUU
Molecule: long non-coding RNA, 226 nt
Organism: Thalassophryne amazonica
Lineage: Eukaryota; Metazoa; Chordata; Actinopteri; Batrachoidiformes; Batrachoididae
Exons: 3
Source: RefSeq, a predicted model, not a curated record